GGAGUAUAUAAAUUUCAGUUUCUACCUGAAUAUAGAUUAAUUUAUAAUCAUACUUCU
This 57-nucleotide transfer RNA is filed under the name Colpocephalum spinicollis. RNAcentral describes it as "tRNA-Ser". The record is from RNAcentral. Lineage: Eukaryota; Metazoa; Arthropoda; Insecta; Psocodea; Menoponidae.